UUUUCGUAUAAUAACUUGGUAUAUUUAUUUUAAAAAUGAAAAAAAAAACAUAUUUUUUUUUACUAAAAA
This 69-nucleotide transfer RNA is filed under the name Lissoclinum patella. Its description in RNAcentral is "tRNA-Phe". The record is from RNAcentral. Lineage: Eukaryota; Metazoa; Chordata; Ascidiacea; Aplousobranchia; Didemnidae.